This 418-nucleotide unclassified non-coding RNA is filed under the name fungal sp. Its description in RNAcentral is "partial internal transcribed spacer region". The stretch from base 1 to 46 matches the Rfam family "Eukaryotic small subunit ribosomal RNA", at positions 1786 to 1831 of the family's 1831-position model. Lineage: Eukaryota; Fungi. The record is from RNAcentral.
AAGUCGUAACAAGGUCUCCGUAGGUGAACCUGCGGAGGGAUCAUUAACUUGUAUGUUGAUGUAUGACAGAAAUGUCAUUGCAUCAACAAUCAACACCAAAACAAAUCAACCCCGUGAAUUCGAGUAUUCAUUUACUCAAUGUCAGCACCGUUAAUUGAAAGGCGAAACGGAGCAUUUAGUUGCUGUCCAGUGACGCGUCACCGAUUGGAAGGGUGUUUUGUGUGGUAACACACAAAAAUGCCUGGUGUCGUCACCUCGUUUAGUAGAUUCGGACAAUUUUAUUUAACCUAUUUCACCAGCUCGUAUAACAAUUGACUGAAACGAAAAGGCGAUUGCUAGUUAACGCUAGCAAACACCUUCAACCUUCGAAUUAUUCGAAUACUAAGCACAACUCUUAGCAACGGAUAUCUUGGUUCUC